This 253-nucleotide ribosomal RNA is filed under the name uncultured bacterium. RNAcentral describes it as "partial 16S ribosomal RNA". It matches the Rfam family "Bacterial small subunit ribosomal RNA", at positions 524 to 776 of the family's 1533-position model. The record is from RNAcentral.
GACGGAAGGUGCAAGCGUUGCUCGGAAUCACUGGGCGUAAAGGGUGCGUAGGCGGGUCUUUAAGUCAGGGGUGAAAUCCUGGAGCUCAACUCCAGAACUGCUUUUGAUACUGAAGAUCUUGAGUUCGGGAGAGGUGAGUGGAACUGCGAGUGUAGAGGUGAAAUUCGUAGAUAUUCGCAAGAACACCAGUGGCGAAGGCGGCUCACUGGCCCGAUACUGACGCUGAGGCACGAAAGCGUGGGGAGCAAACAGG